AUUGAACGCUGGCGGCAUGCCUUACACAUGCAAGUCGAACGGUAACGCGGGGCAACCUGGCGACGAGUGGCGAACGGGUGAGUAAUGUAUCGGAACGUGCCCAGUAGUGGGGGAUAGCCCGGCGAAAGCCGGAUUAAUACCGCAUGAGACCUGAGGGUGAAAGCGGGGGAUCGCAAGACCUCGCGCUAUUGGAGCGGCCGAUAUCAGAUUAGGUAGUUGGUGGGGUAAAAGCCUACCAAGCCGACGAUCUGUAGCUGGUCUGAGAGGACGACCAGCCACACUGGGACUGAGACACGGCCCAGACUCCUACGGGAGGCAGCAGUGGGGAAUUUUGGACAAUGGGCGCAAGCCUGAUCCAGCCAUGCCGCGUGCGGGAAGAAGGCCUUCGGGUUGUAAACCGCUUUUGUCAGGGAAGAAAUCUUCUGAGCUAAUACCUCGGGAGGAUGACGGUACCUGAAGAAUAAGCACCGGCUAACUACGUG
This 482-nucleotide ribosomal RNA is filed under the name uncultured bacterium. Its description in RNAcentral is "bacterial SSU rRNA". It matches the Rfam family "Bacterial small subunit ribosomal RNA", at positions 29 to 507 of the family's 1533-position model. The record is from RNAcentral.